AAUAUGGGGUUGGAGCCCCCACACUGGAGGCCACCAUCAUGAAGACCCCAGAUUCAUAGACCCACCAAGAGCUUUGCACCCUCCAUGUGUUAUAAACCCCAGGCACUCAACACCAGCACAGCCCAUGAGGGCAGCUGCACAGGCUGAACACUGCAAAGUCACAGGUGAGCUGCCCAAGGCCUUGGGAGCCCAGCCCUCACGCCCUUGUGCCCUGGAUGUGGGACAAGGAUUAAAAAAGGAUGACUUUUGAGCUGUGGGUUUGAAUAACUGGCCUGCUGGGUUUUGGACUUUUCAUGGAGCCUAGGCUCAGGGGCAGAAGAGACUGCCUUUUCUCAGAUGAGACUUUGGGCUUUGGACAUUUGAGUAAAUGCUGGAAUGAGUUAAGACCUUGUGGGACUGUAGCCUUACCCUGUAGGAAUUCUAGUGACUAUGUUGCCACCAUCUUGGAGCUCCAUGCCCUCAUAGUGUAAUGGCAUCAGCAGAUCUGCCUGUGCACAGACUUCCUGUACUACCUCACUCCUGAGGGGAGAUGCUUCUGCAGGGCCUGCGACCUGGUGCUCAACUUUAGACACCAUCAUUCUGGAGCGGCACUGCACCCUCACUAGCCAGGGUGUUGACGUCCUCAAGGCCAAGGCCACAUUCAAGACUUUGGACUUCAUUGAUGCACUUGUGCCGAGCAAGCUUAUCUGAUCUUCUGGGAUCUCUACUAGGAUGCUGGCAGCCCAGCCAGCUGGUCUGGCCCUGGACGUGCCUUCAGGGGCUGGGUAUGCUUCAUGACCUGUGUUUUGAUCCUGGUUGGAGUAAAACAUUCCAUGGGAACUCGGGCUGUGAGAAACGUCCUAACCACCUGACUGCAGAAACAUCCUUAUCACAUCCUGCUGGGCAAAGGCCCAACAGCCUGACUUCAGGAACAUCCUUAUCAUCAUCUACUGAGCAGCAAGCUAUACUGUCCAGAGCCCUCCCUCCCAGCCCCAUGAUUACCCCAGCCUGUAAGUGGCAGUGGGCGCUGACACUAAGCUGGUUUCCCCCUCCGCAGGGUUUUGCUAGUAAUAAACCUGUGUUGCUGUUG
This 1069-nucleotide long non-coding RNA is filed under the name Pan troglodytes (chimpanzee). RNAcentral's name for it is "long non-coding RNA NONPTRT017793". The record is from RNAcentral. Lineage: Eukaryota; Metazoa; Chordata; Mammalia; Primates; Hominidae.